This 459-nucleotide ribosomal RNA is filed under the name uncultured bacterium. RNAcentral describes it as "partial 16S ribosomal RNA". It matches the Rfam family "Bacterial small subunit ribosomal RNA", at positions 338 to 795 of the family's 1533-position model. The record is from RNAcentral.
CCUACGGGAGGCUGCAGUGAGGAAUAUUGGUCAAUGGGCGGAAGCCUGAACCAGCCAAGUAGCGUGCGGGAUGAAGGCCCUACGGGUCGUAAACCGCUUUUGCACGGGGAAAACACCCUCCACUUGUGGAGGUCUGCAGGUACCGUGCGAAUAAGGGCCGGCAAAUUCCGUGCCAGCAGCAGCGGUAAUACGGAAGGCCCGAGGGUUAGCCGGAUUCAUUGGGCUUAAGGGGAGCGUAGGCGGGCGCUCAAGUCAGCUGGAAAAUCGCCGGGCUCAACCGCGCCCCGCAGUUGAAACUGGACGCCUUGAGUUCACAACAGGCAGGCGGAAUUCGUAGUGUAGCGGUGAAAUGCAUAGAUAUCACGAGGAACCCCGAUUGCGAAGGCAGCCUGCCGGGGUGCGACUGACGCUGAGGCUCGAAGGUGCGGGUAUCAAACAGGAUUAGAUACCCGUGUAGUC